UAUUAUGCAUGUGGGGCUCUCCUUACUGUCUGCCGUGUACUUUUAUUUUGGCGCGGCAAAUGCAAGCUCUUCGUGACAUAAAAAAAGGAGGAAUUCAUUUCCCUUUGGCUCGGGGUGCGGCAGUGUGGAGACCUGUCGUAAUGCGGGUGGCUUUUGCCCCUGCGAGGCCGCAUCAGGAGGAUUCCGUGCGGUUGGAGCCGUGUAGGUAUGGCA
This 213-nucleotide non-coding RNA is filed under the name unclassified sequences. Its description in RNAcentral is "malK-I RNA". The stretch from base 45 to 213 matches the Rfam family "malK-I RNA". The record is from RNAcentral.